GAGGCUCCACAUUUAGAUUCAUUUAUAAAGUUGCACAAACAAGAUAAUCCGAUUUGUCCAUUAUUUAACUUUAAAACUGCUCCAUCUUAUAACCUUGCUAAAUAUUUAGAUUCUCUCAUUAGAUAAAAGUUAAACAUGAAUACUGAAUACUAAUACUCCUAUAAAAAAAACACUUAUAAUUUCAUUGAACAAAUUAAUAAAAUUAAUAUUGAGCAAGUUAACAAAAUGAUUUUCUUGGUGUAAAAACUGUAUAUACAUCUAUUCCUAAACACGAAACAGUACAUUUAAAAAAAAAUAAACAUAGUAAUAAAUUUAAUACAAUCGAAGUAUAAGAAAUUAUUCAAUCAAUAAAUUUAAUUAUUAAUCAAAACUAUUUCCAAUAUAAUAAUAAAUUAUGUUCACAAAAAAAAGGGUUAGUUAUGGGUGUGAACCUUUAAAUGCUCUUUUAACUGGAAUUUGCAUGCCAAAUUAUGAAACCAAUAAUACUAUUAACAACAAAAUAUACAGUCCAUAUAUAAAAGCAUAUUAUAGUUGAUGACAUUUUAUUUAGAGGUUCAAAUAGACAAGUAGAAAAUUUAGUUAACUACUUAAAUAACAAAAUAAAUAAAAACAUUCAAUUUAAACUCGAAAUACAAAUAAAUAAUAAAUUCAAAUUCUUAGAUGUUAAAGUUUCCAUAGUUAGAAGUAAAUUCGAUUUUAGUAUUUAUAGGAAACUUACACAAACUGAUGCUAUAAUACCACGUGAUUCUAACCACUUUAAUUCUCGAAAAAUAUCACUGUUUAUUCAGUAUUCUAUAGGUUUGAAUGUAUUCCAUUAAAUAAACAUAAUUAUCAACACAAGUUUAAUAUCAUCUAUGAUAUAGAAAUAAUUUCA
This is a non-coding RNA of Cinara cedri, 874 nucleotides long. The record is from the annotation of a GenBank genome assembly. NCBI's taxonomy places the organism in Eukaryota, Metazoa, Arthropoda, Insecta, Hemiptera, Aphididae.